Molecule: ribosomal RNA, 501 nt
Filed under: uncultured bacterium
Lineage: Bacteria
Description: bacterial SSU rRNA
Rfam family: Bacterial small subunit ribosomal RNA
Source: RNAcentral
GAUGAACGCUAGCUACAGGCUUAACACAUGCAAGUCGAGGGGAAACGAUAUUGGAAGCUUGCUUCCGAUAGGCGUCGACCGGCGCACGGGUGAGUAACGCGUAUCCAACCUGCCCAUCACUUGGGGAUAACCUUGCGAAAGUAAGACUAAUACCCAAUGACGUCUCUAGAAGACAUCUGAAAGAGAUUAAAGAUUUAUCGGUGAUGGAUGGGGAUGCGUCUGAUUAGCUUGUUGGCGGGGUAACGGCCCACCAAGGCGACGAUCAGUAGGGGUUCUGAGAGGAAGGUCCCCCACAUUGGAACUGAGACACGGUCCAAACUCCUACGGGAGGCAGCAGUGAGGAAUAUUGGUCAAAUGGACGAGAGUCUGAACCAGCCAAGUAGCGUGCAGGAAGACGGCCCUAUGGGUUGUAAACUGCUUUUAUAAGGGAUAAAGUGAGUCUCGUGAGACUUUUUGCAUGUACCUUAUGAAUAAGGACCGGCUAAUUCCGUGCCAGCAGCC